AUGGAAGAGCAGAUCGUGGCGCUCGCAAAGGUGGUUAACGAUGCACGCACCUCCCUCAACGCGAUCCAACAAUCGCUCGAGAUGUGGAGGCCGACGGUGACCAACCUACAACAACAAUUGGAUCGGGGACGCGGUGGUGCGGCCUACGUCGACAAAUCCCACCGGCGACGCAAGGCACAACGACCCCGAUGGCCACGGCGAGAUCAUCGACACCGGGGGGGCUCGGCUCAUAGGGUGGUCCCCACCUUGACGCCGCUUCCGGUCAAAGGUGCGUACCAAAUCUCCCCUCUCAAAAUCCCUAUUGCUACUCACGUCCAUCGGGGUAGAGAAUUGGAGUACAGAUCACCACAUCCUCCGCACUCCAAUUGGGCCCUUCUCAAACUUGAUUUCCCACAAUUCGAGGGCGAGAACCCUCAAUUUCGAAAGACUAGAUGUGCGAAGAAGUACUUUGAUGUGUACGGUGUGCAACUGGGUCUUUGGUUCACGGAGCGCGCAACACCCCCGUUCACACGGGCGACACUUUGUGCUGCUCUGUGCGCCAAAUUCGGCUACGAGCAGUAUCAAACACAAUGGCACCUGAGCCGCCAUGUCUCACGAACCGACGAAACGGCCCGCCGCCCCCUUCCCCGUAGCCGGCGGAUUUCGCCGGCCGCUUCUCCGGUGACGACGAGACCAGUUGAAGGGAGAAGGGAUCUCAGCGCGGUCGAUCUAGGGUUUCCGGUGUCGCCAGGAGGAGGGGGACCUGCAUGUUUUCGAAUCCCAGAGUUCCACUCUAGGAAGGAAAUCUAUCCCCACUCCACGUGCUGA
This 807-nucleotide ribosomal RNA is filed under the name Triticum aestivum (bread wheat). RNAcentral describes it as "partial small subunit ribosomal RNA". The record is from RNAcentral. Lineage: Eukaryota; Viridiplantae; Streptophyta; Magnoliopsida; Poales; Poaceae.